Molecule: long non-coding RNA, 584 nt
Filed under: Lynx pardinus (Iberian lynx)
Lineage: Eukaryota; Metazoa; Chordata; Mammalia; Carnivora; Felidae
Source: RNAcentral
CAGGGGAGCCCACCAUGCUUCUUUGGACCAGAGUUCCCCUCCCCAGAGUGGCCCCCCUGGGACGCCUCCCUCCUACAAACUGCCUUUGCUUGGGCCCUAUGACAGCCGCGAUGACUUCCCCCUCCGCAAAACAGGUGAGCAGUGCCCAACCUGGCCUCCCAGAGUAUGGCUCCUUGGAGGUAGGGGUGGGAGUGUGAAGGGGCCAGGCUGCAGGCGUGUGCGCAUCCGUGUAGCUGUAUCUGAGCCCUGCCUACCUUCUCCCUAGCCUCUGAACCCAACUUGAAAGUGCGUUCGAGGCUAAAGCAGAAGGUGGCUGAGCGGAGAAGCAGUCCCCUCCUGCGUCGCAAGGAUGGGACAGUCAUUAGCACCUUUAAGAAGAGAGCGGUUGAGAUCACUGGUGCUGGGCCUGGAGGUAAGGGCUCCUCUUUUGUUCCUGUUCUGAGGUCCUGGGAGUGGGGGGUGGCUCUGAGCAAGCCCAGGUGACAGCCAGUUCUCCCAUAGUGUCGUCCGUGUGUAACAGCGCACCAGGCUCCGGCCCCAGCUCUCCCAACAGCUCCCACAGCACCAUUGCUGAGAAUGGCUUU